AUUGAACGCUGGCGGCAGGCCUAACACAUGCAAGUCGAGCGGAUGAAGGGAGCUUGCUCCUGGAUUCAGCGGCGGACGGGUGAGUAAUGCCUAGGAAUCUGCCUGGUAGUGGGGGAUAACGUCCGGAAACGGGCGCCAAUACCGCAUACGUCCUGAGGGAGAAAGUGGGGGAUCUUCGGACCUCACGCUAUCAGAUGAGCCUAGGUCGGAUUAGCUAGUUGGUGGGGUAAAGGCCUACCAAGGCGACGAUCCGUAACUGGUCUGAGAGGAUGAUCAGUCACGCUGGAACUGAGACACGGGCCAGACUCCGACGGGAGGCAGCAGUGGGGAAUAUUGGACAAUGGGCGAAAGCCUGAUCCAGCCAUGCCGCGUGUGAAGAAGGUCUUCGGAUUGUAAAGCACUUUAAGUUGGGAGGAAGGGCAGUAAGUUAAUACCUUGCUGUUUUGACGUUACCAACAGAAUAAGCACCGGCUAACUUCGUG
Molecule: ribosomal RNA, 482 nt
Filed under: uncultured bacterium
Lineage: Bacteria
Description: partial 16S ribosomal RNA
Rfam family: Bacterial small subunit ribosomal RNA
Source: RNAcentral